CCUACGGGUGGCAGCAGUGGGGGAUAUUGCACAAUGGGGGGAACCCUGAUGCAGCGACGCCGCGUGGGUGAAGAAGCGCCUCGGCGCGUAAAGCCCUGUCAGCAGGGAAGAAAAUGACGGUACCUGAAGAAGAAGCCCCGGCUAACUACGUGCCAGCAGCCGCGGUAAUACGUAGGGGGCAAGCGUUAUCCGGAUUUACUGGGUGUAAAGGGGGCGCAGACGGCGAUGCAAGCCAGGAGUGAAAGCCCGGGGGCCAACCCCGGGACUGCGCUUGGAACUGCGUGGCUGGAGUGCAGGAGGGGCAGGCGGAAUUCGUGGUGUAGCGGUGAAAUGCGUAGAUAUCAGGAGGAACACCGGUGGCGAAGGCGGCCUGCUGGACUGCAACUGACGUUGAGGCCCGAAAGCGUGGGGAGCAAACAGGAUUAGAUACCCCGGUAGUC
This 440-nucleotide ribosomal RNA is filed under the name uncultured bacterium. RNAcentral describes it as "partial 16S ribosomal RNA". It matches the Rfam family "Bacterial small subunit ribosomal RNA", at positions 338 to 795 of the family's 1533-position model. The record is from RNAcentral.